RNAcentral lists this long non-coding RNA (883 nucleotides) under Heterocephalus glaber (naked mole-rat). RNAcentral's name for it is "lncRNA (ENSHGLG00100042354.1)". Lineage: Eukaryota; Metazoa; Chordata; Mammalia; Rodentia; Bathyergidae. The record is from RNAcentral.
CUGGCUUGGUCAAGAUUUAUCUAGGCGCGUUCUCACUCGCGAAAAAAAAAUGGUUGUUUGAUUGUAGUGCCCCCUGGUGGCCAAAGGCAGUGCAAAGGCUGUCGCUGAAAAGAAAGCGAAUACAGAACCCAUCAAGCUCCUAAUUGCCUAGGUUUAUAGGUCUUUUCCCAGGUUGUACGCCUGAGGGUAAUACUAGUGGCUCUCUCUCUGUGGGCUGUAUACCAUGUUGGUGAGCUCAGUUUUAUAAAGGGAAAGUUUGCUUUGUAAAACGGCUGUCCCAAAGAGUUACGGGGUCCUGGAACACCCACCAAAGGACCUCACUGUUCACUGCCAUCUGGAGUUGAGGAACCCAUGACCUCCAGGUGAUUCUGGUGCACGCAAAGUUUGGAGAGUCCCACACUAGAGCGAUGCUUAAUAAACCUGCGCUGUUUCCAAUGGUAACCAGAUAGAGGAAAAGUGAGAUUGAAAUCCAGGUCCAUUGAUCCCAAAGUCCAUCUUUGGCUACAAAUCAACAAAUCACACCUGGCCUCUCCUGAAGGGAAAACAUAUUGAGGAACAAAUUAAACAACACUGUGGAAGGGGCAACAAGCACACUCCAGACAGGAAAACUGCAGCACAACCAACCUGGUUUAUUCAGCAGAAAAAUGCCAGGAAAACAAAACAAACCAAAAAUAGGGUGGCGAAACAUGUAAAAAAAUACUUGCAGUAUGUAAACAUAAUACAAGCUAUGGCUCUUUAAUUAAAAAAAAAUUAAUUGUAAAAGCAUAAACAAAUUGAUAAAUUGUAAAAAAUUAAUUGUAAAAUUAAUUGUAAAGUUAAAAAAUUACUUGUAAAAUUAAUUGUAAAUUUAAUUUUAAAAAAUUAACUGGAAGUUUGAAAACUG